RNAcentral lists this ribosomal RNA (489 nucleotides) under uncultured bacterium. Its description in RNAcentral is "bacterial SSU rRNA". It matches the Rfam family "Bacterial small subunit ribosomal RNA", at positions 9 to 523 of the family's 1533-position model. The record is from RNAcentral.
GAGUUUGAUCAUGGCUCAGGAUGAACGCUGACAGAAUGCUUAACACAUGCAAGUCAACUUGAACUUCGGUUUGGGUGGCGGACGGGUGAGUAACGCGUAAAGAACUUGCCUCACAGAUAGGGACAACAUUUGGAAACGAAUGCUAAUACCUGAUAUUAUGAUUUUAGGGCAUCCUAGGAUUAUGAAAGCUAUAUGCGCUGUGAGAGAGCUUUGCGUCCCAUUAGCUAGUUGGAGAGGUAACGGCUCACCAAGGCGAUGAUGGGUAGCCGGCCUGAGAGGGUGAUCGGCCACAAGGGGACUGAGACACGGCCCUUACUCCUACGGGAGGCAGCAGUGGGGAAUAUUGGACAAUGGACCAAGAGUCUGAUCCAGCAAUUCUGUGUGCACGAUGAAGUUUUUCGGAAUGUAAAGUGCUUUCAGUUGGGAAGAAAAAAAUGACGGUACCAACAGAAGAAGUGACGGCUAAAUACGUGCCAGCAGCCGCGGUAC